This 1411-nucleotide ribosomal RNA is filed under the name Triticum aestivum (bread wheat). RNAcentral describes it as "partial small subunit ribosomal RNA". Lineage: Eukaryota; Viridiplantae; Streptophyta; Magnoliopsida; Poales; Poaceae. The record is from RNAcentral.
UUCCUUUCACGCAUUGCUAGUGCGUCGCUCGGACAUGACCACAUGAUAAGGGGUCGCAGAGGAGGUGGCCCGAGUGACGGUACCGGUGGCGCGCGCGUCGAGUGCGCAAUUGUCGCGAGUGGACGCGCGAAUCGAGGAAUCGGUAGGAGCGGCGGUAGGUGGACCAGGAAACGUCGACGCACAGGGCUGGUCGAUGCGUCACCAGCUGACGCGGUGCGGCGGCUGAAGGAGCCUGCUGUCGCGACGACGGAAGGCGCUGUCGGAGGACGGUGAGGACCGGCGCGAUGGGCGUCGGCGGCGCGGCUGCCCCAAGCGCUGGGAAGUCAGGCCGCCGCCCCGUAAGCGGGCGCCGAAGACGGACCCGCGGAGGCGCGGCUCUCUCACGGAGCGCACGGAGCGGCGCCGGCGGUUCUUGGAGUGGCCGACGCCGCGGUCGUCCGCGCGGCCGCACACCUCCCGGCUCCCGACGAAGGACAGGAUGCGGCUGCUGUUAUGGAGGAGACGCAUGCUCCUUAGAAAGGAGGUCCAGCAGAUGAGGCCGCUCCUUCAGAAUGGGGGGCUGUAGAGGACACUCCUGUCAAGGCUGGGGCCGACGAAGCUCGGCGCCUCCGAGCAGCGCGAGCGCCUCAGGGACCGCGCCGCGCCGCGUCGGUUGUCGAGCCCGCGCGCGCAGCAGCGGCUGCGCCGGCGCGAGAGCUAGUUGCGGUGACACUUCUGGCGCCACUGCAACGCCCGCGUCACGCGCUCCCUGGCGCGCCGCCGCCUCACGCGGGCCACGGACCCCAUGAACCGCGCUCACAACCUCCGCACGUGGACCACCGAACUGCCGCUCAUACGAAUACACCGGCGGCUGCACCAGCCGAUGUUGACGAAGGACGCCUAGCUCCGAAGUCAAGGAUUCCCAGCCGCGGACCGCUUUAUAUACUUCCUAAGACAGUUCUAUUGGAACACGCAGUGGUGUGACGAGCGUGACCAAAAAUGGCGAGAGUGGCGCCGUUAGCGCACGCAGCUACACUCUUUCUUGGCGGGUCACCGCCGCCCUUACAUCGUCGUCGUCCACCUCUAAUCUGUUCGAUCCUCGUAGGAAGGCCUAGGCAACGACAACACGGUGAGUAGAGGGGUGACGGAACAAGGAGGGGUUGGACUACAGAAGGGUUUCGGCUUAACUAGUAGGUAAAGCUGCACUUACGUCGUUUAUUGCUAGGGCAAAAGUACAUGGUAGUUUCAUAAAACUUACAUGGCAUCGAACCAUAAUUAAAUCUCAAAUUUAUACUACAUGAUGGUCAUAAUGAAACCUACUUGAUGAUCAAUAAGGACUUACACGGUACUUGCGUGAAUGAUUAAAGACUUAAACAUUAUAAUACAAGAGCCACUAAAGGCACUAAAUAAAAUAAAAUGUACCAGAAACAGU